Molecule: ribosomal RNA, 494 nt
Filed under: Lens misellus
Lineage: Eukaryota; Metazoa; Mollusca; Bivalvia; Unionida; Unionidae
Description: Contradens missellus partial 16S ribosomal RNA
Rfam family: Bacterial large subunit ribosomal RNA
Source: RNAcentral
UCGUCUUUUGUGCACAAGUAUAAAAGAUAAUGCCUGCCCAGUGAACCUAUUUAAACGGCCGCGUUAGCGUGAGCGUGCUAAGGUAGCGUAAUAAUUAGCCUCUUAAUUGGAGGCCAGUGAAAGGCAACACGAGGAACACCUAUACUUUAUGUGUUAAAAAAACUUUUCUUCUAAGUGAAAAGCCUUAGAUACUAAAAGAAGACGAAAAGACCCCGCGGAACUUUACCUUUUCUCUAGAUUUAUUAACCUACAAUUUGUAUAAAUCUAUUAAGGUUUGAUUGGGGCAAUCUCGGAACCACCUAAACUUCCGAACUACACUCUAAUUAAUCUAAAAUUUGCUUUGGACUAAAAUGAAGUUACCCCGGGGAUAACAGCGUUAUCCAACUUAAGAGUACACAUCGAAAGUUGGGUUUGCGACCUCGAUGUUGGCUUAAGGACAUCCACAUAAGUGCAGCCGCUAUGAACGGAAAGUCUGUUCGACUAUUAUAACCUUA